AAUCAACGCUGGCGGCACGCUUAACACAUGCAAGUCGAACGAGAAAGCUUCCUUCGGGAGGUUAGUAAAGUGGCGGACGGGUGAGUAACACGUGGGUAAUCUGCCCUUGAGUGGGGAAUAACUUUGGGAAACCGAAGAUAAUACCGCAUACGACCCUUCGGGGUGAAAGCUUUAUGCGCUCAAGGAUGAGCCCGCGGUCGAUUAGUUAGUUGGUGGGGUAAUGGCUCACCAAGGCAGCGAUCGAUAUCCGGCCUGAGAGGGCACACGGACACACUGGCACUGAGACACGGGCCAGACUCCUACGGGAGGCAGCAGUGGGGAAUCUUGGACAAUGGGGGAAACCCUGAUCCAGCGAUGCCGCGUGACCGAUGAAGGCCCUCGGGUCGUAAAGGUCUUUCGAUGGGGACUAUAAUGAAGGUACCCAUAAAAGCAGGAGCGCUAACUA
This 445-nucleotide ribosomal RNA is filed under the name uncultured bacterium. RNAcentral's name for it is "bacterial SSU rRNA". It matches the Rfam family "Bacterial small subunit ribosomal RNA", at positions 32 to 503 of the family's 1533-position model. The record is from RNAcentral.